This 497-nucleotide ribosomal RNA is filed under the name uncultured bacterium. RNAcentral's name for it is "partial 16S ribosomal RNA". It matches the Rfam family "Bacterial small subunit ribosomal RNA", at positions 28 to 507 of the family's 1533-position model. The record is from RNAcentral.
GAUGAACGCUGGCGGCGUGCCUAAUACAUGCAAGUCGAGCGAACAGACGAGGAGCUUGCUCCUCUGACGUUAGCGGCGGACGGGUGAGUAACACGUGGAUAACCUACCUAUAAUACUGGGAUAACUUCGGGAAACCGGAGCUAAUACCGGAUAAUAUAUUGAACCGCAUGGUUCAAUAGUGAAUGACGGUUUUGCUGUCACUUAUAGAUGGAUCCGCGCCGCAUUAGCUAGUUGGUAAGGUAACGGCUUACCAAGGCAACGAUGCGUAGCCGACCUGAGAGGGUGAGCGGCCACACUGGAACGGAGACACGGUCCAGACUACUAAGGGAGGCAGCAGUAGGGAAUAUUCCGCAAUGGGCGAAAGCAUGACGGAGCAACGCCGCGUGAGUGAUGAAGGUCUUCGGAUCGUAAAACUCUGUUAUUAGGGAAGAACAAAUGUGUAAGUAAAUAUGCACGUAUUGACGGUACCGAAUCAGAAAGCAACGGCUAACUACGUG